UGAUGAGGAGUUAUGAAAAAUAGAUAAUUACUUAUGUACUCCUCAAAAUUUCUAGAAUAUUUUAUAUAUCUAUAUAUUUUUUUGUUUUAAAUAUAUUUCUCGUAUAUUUUUUUUCAUUAUUCAAAAAUAACCUCGCUGUUAGUAUCCAUUAAGUUAUUUAGAAUUAAAUUCAGGUUAAAUUUCUAUCAUAAUUUUUAAAAAAAUCAAAAUAUCUCUUUUGCCCAGACAAAUAAGAAAAGUUGGUGACGAUAGAAGGAUAUAUUUGAAAAGGCAAAAAAUUAAAAUAUUUCUUUUGUCCCUAACUUAAGAGCAAAUAAGAAAGUUAGUAACAGUAAAUAGGUAUAUUUGAAAGGGUAAAAUAAUAAUUUUACAUAUAUAACAAUUGUUCCUAAUAGUUCACUAACAAAAUUUAACUCUAGGGCGCGUUUGGUUCGAGGUAUGUAAUAUUACAGAGUAUUUUGAAAUAUCCAGAUAUCUUGGAUUUUUGAAUGAUAUUAUUACUGAUGUUGCAUUAGUGCGUUUGGUUUAAUACAGUAAUGUAAUGCUAGGUUGCAGUGUUUGUAGUGUUACUAUGUUUGGUUUUUACUAUAAAAUUUAAUAAUCUAGACAAUAAAGUAUAAUCUAUUCCAAAAUUACCCUUAGUCAUAUUUCGUAAAUUUUUUUUUACUGUUUACAAACAAUAUUUUUUUACCAAAUUUUAUUUUAAAUAAUUUAAUUUUCUAAAUUUUAAAUUUUAACAAAAAUAUAAAUUUAAUAUUUUAAUUUAAAAUAUAAAUAACCAUUGAUAUAUUUGAACACGGAUAUAAACCUUCAAUUGCAUUGUAUUUUUUUUU
RNAcentral lists this long non-coding RNA (833 nucleotides) under Ananas comosus (pineapple). RNAcentral's name for it is "long non-coding RNA (ACOM_LNC006858)". Lineage: Eukaryota; Viridiplantae; Streptophyta; Magnoliopsida; Poales; Bromeliaceae. The record is from RNAcentral.